UCCUCGUUGAAGCGAGGCAGUCUGUCCAGAGUGCUCCUCUCUCUCGAGAGGGUGGCAACAGGACACAAGGGUUGCGCUCGUUGCGGGACUUAACCCAACAUCUCACGACACGAGCUGACGACAGCCAUGCAGCACCUGUGCAAGCUGGUAUUGCUACCUCGUCCCACUUUCAUGGUUCUACUACUUGCAUGUCAAGGCCAGGUAAGGUUCUUCGCGUUGCAUCGAAUUAAGCCACAUACUCCACCGCUUGUGCAGGCCCCCGUCAAUUUCUUUGAGUUUUAAUCUUGCGACCGUACUUCCCAGGCGGCUUAUUUAACGCGUUUGCUACGCCACAAAAGGGGUCGAUUCCUUUUACAGCAAAUAAGCACCGUUUACGGCUAGGACUAC
RNAcentral lists this unclassified non-coding RNA (387 nucleotides) under uncultured Verrucomicrobiae bacterium. RNAcentral describes it as "contains 16S-23S intergenic spacer region". The record is from RNAcentral. Lineage: Bacteria; Pseudomonadati; Verrucomicrobiota; Verrucomicrobiia.